UACGUAGGGUGCGAGCGUUAAUCGGAAUUACUGGGCGUAAAGCGUGCGUAGGCGGUUCGUUAAGUUCGUUGUGAAAGCCCCGGGCUCAACCUGGGAAUGGCAAUGGAAACUGGCGGGCUGGAGUAUGGCAGAGGGGGGUGGAAUUCCGCGUGUAGCAGUGAAAUGCGUAGAGAUGCGGAGGAACACCGAUGGCGAAGGCAGCCCCCUGGGCCAAUACUGACGCUCAGGCACGAAAGCGUGGGGAGCAAACGGG
Molecule: ribosomal RNA, 253 nt
Filed under: uncultured bacterium
Lineage: Bacteria
Description: partial 16S ribosomal RNA
Rfam family: Bacterial small subunit ribosomal RNA
Source: RNAcentral